AUGUUAAUACCUUAGAGAGUAUGU
RNAcentral lists this non-coding RNA (24 nucleotides) under Arabidopsis thaliana (thale cress). The record is from RNAcentral. Lineage: Eukaryota; Viridiplantae; Streptophyta; Magnoliopsida; Brassicales; Brassicaceae.